Molecule: ribosomal RNA, 1756 nt
Filed under: Hemitrichia lutescens
Lineage: Eukaryota; Evosea; Eumycetozoa; Trichiida; Trichiidae
Description: Trichia lutescens partial small subunit ribosomal RNA
Rfam family: Eukaryotic small subunit ribosomal RNA
Source: RNAcentral
AUAUGCUUGUCCCGACGCUUAAGCCAUGCAAGCCUUAGAAGAAGUAGUUGAUCCCAAAUCUGCGAGCGGCUCCGUAUAUCUGUUAUCACUCCCCGCCCCGGGUAUCCUCGGAUAUCCCAGGUAAUUCUUAGGCUAAUACGUGCUUAUUUCGGGGCCGCCUAGCUGGGUGGGUUCACCGCCACGUGGCGGCUCCGGGCUUGCGGCGUCUUGCCAACGGCCCCCCCUUUCGGGGGGGGGCUCGCGGGAGGGCACGCAAGGGGCCCUUACCGUCCUUGCGGCGGUGGGGGUCGAUAGGCUCCAGACCUAUCAACCACGGCGUAGGGGAGAGCCCCUCGCCGGUGAUAACGGGUACAGAGGAUCAGGGUUCGGUCCUGGAGAGGUAGCCUUAGAGAUCGCUACUACUUCUAAGGAAGGCAGCAGGCGCGCAACGUUCCCAAUGGGGAGGACCCUGAGGACGUGAGGGGGCAUAGCAAUGCGGUGCCCUAAAAGGCGCUGCAAUUGAAAUGGGGGCGUCUUAGAUCCCCCACCGAGUAACGAUUGGAGGACAAGUCUGGUGCCAGCACCCGCGGUAAUUCCAGCUCCAAUAGCGUCUCGUUAAGUUGCUGCAGUUAAAACGCUCGUAGUCCCAGCCGGUGGCGCCUGGCAGGAUCCAUAGUAGCCUGGGUGAAAACGUAGGGGCGGGGGGGUGUCGCGGCGGUGCCACAGGUACGCGCCCCUUACCCCCUCCCCCGAGCCACCCAACGAAAUGGUCCAUACCACCCACCUAAUCGCCCUGGACCGGGGCGGCGGGGCUUCAGUGCCCUGCCGCCCCACCAGGGCACCAUACUUUGAGUAAAUUUGAGCGCUCAACGCAGGCCUCUAUGGCCGCCCUUGAAAAUCCUAGCAAAGAAUAUCGGAACAGGACUCGUCCUGGCCCGUUGGUACUAGGAGGAUUAAUGAUUAAUAGGGGGGAUCGGGGCCGGCCACAUGGCGGGGGUAGGGGUGAAAUCCGUUGAUCCUCGCCAGGUGAACUAAAGCGAAAGCAGCCGGCUAGUACCCUUUCUUUGAUCAAGAACGAAAGUCUGGGGAUCGAAGAUGAUCAGAUACCAUCGUAGUCCAGACCCUAAAUGCUGCCGACCAUGGAUGGGCUAGUGUCCAUCCCGACCCGGCCCGGACCUUGGGGGAAACCACGAGUGUCUGGGCUCCGGGGGGAGUAUGGUCGCAAGACUGAAACUUAAAGGAAUUGACGGAGGAGCACACAAGGAGUGGAGCCUGCGGCUUAAUUUGACUCAACACGGGGAAACUUACCAGGGCAAGAAGGGGGUAUGAUGGACGGCCGAUCAGGGCCUUCAAGAUUCCCCUAGUGGUGGUGCAUGGUCGUUCUUAGUUCGUGGAGUGAUUUGUCUGGUCUAUUCCGCUAACGAGCGAGAACCCACUCUCCCGAGGUUAGGUCGCGCGGGAUCGUCCCCCGGUCGGGACCCCACCCCUGCCCGCAAGGGCGGGGGAGGGGACCCAAUGGUGCGGUAAAUGACCCGUCGGCUCGAUCCAGGGGAACCGGCUUCGAUAAGGGGUCGGGAGCGGGUCAAUAACAGGUCAGUGAUGCCCUUAGAUGCUCUGGGCCGCACGCGCGCUACAAUGGGGGGAAUUAGCGGGUUCUCCUGUGCCGAAAGGCGGCGGGUAAUCCUCGAAAGCCCCUCAUAUCCGGGAUAGGGGCGUGGAACGCGCCCCUUGAACAAGGAAUUUCUAGUAGGUACGGGUCACCACCCCGUGCCGAUUC